This 568-nucleotide long non-coding RNA is filed under the name Rhinopithecus roxellana (golden snub-nosed monkey). Its description in RNAcentral is "lncRNA (ENSRROG00000045948.1)". Lineage: Eukaryota; Metazoa; Chordata; Mammalia; Primates; Cercopithecidae. The record is from RNAcentral.
CCGAGGGCUCGUUUGGCCUUCCACGGAGGCAGUGGGGCAGGCACCACUCCACCUUUCCCAGCCCUUGAGACCCUCCAGGAACCUGGCUGAGUUAUUGUCAGAGCUUGACCAAGACCUGAGGUAGUAUGAGAAACUGAAAACUGAGCAGAAGAGCUUAUUCCAGGUAUCUAAGAGGUGGCUCAGUGGGGCUGCCUACCAGUCCUGACAUCUCCCCUUCUUGCCUGCCAUUAAUCUGAGACCCCUGCCGUCUAUCACUUUGUGGUGAGACCAGCCUGCCCCAAUCAUCGCAGUCAUCAAAGGACUUUGGAGGCCCUCAGGAAUGCUCAGGCAGUGAAACCUAAACAGUUUGGAGCUGGAGCAUCCUUGCGAUUGGGAACUGAAGGAGGAGGGUGCCGCGCUAGCCUGACCUGACCCCAGCAUUGCAAACCCUGGAGCUUCCAGGGGGACUCUGGAGUCAGAGAAACCCGGGUGUAAAUCUCCCUUUUGUCAAUGUGGAAGUUGCUGAACAUCUCUGAGGCUCAGUUUUCUCAUUUAUUAGAUGGGCUGUUAAUAAAAGUAUCUACCCGUC